Molecule: ribosomal RNA, 460 nt
Filed under: uncultured bacterium
Lineage: Bacteria
Description: partial 16S ribosomal RNA
Rfam family: Bacterial small subunit ribosomal RNA
Source: RNAcentral
CCUACGGGUGGCAGCAGUGGGGAAUAUUGGUCAAUGGACGAGAGUCUGACCCAGCCAAGUAGCGUGCAGGAUGACUGCCCUCUGGGUUGUAAACUUCUUUUAUAUGGGAGUAAACUGUUCCACGUGUGGGCUUUUGUAUGUACCAUAUGAUUAAGGAUCGGCUAACUCCGUGCCAGCAGCCGCGAUAAUACGGAGGAUCCGAGCGUUAUCCGGAGUUAUUGUGUUUAAAGGGAGCGUAGGUGGAUUGUUAAGGCAGUUGUGAAAGUUUUCGGCUCAACCGUAAAAUUGCAGUUGAAACUGGCAGUCUUGAGUACAGUAGAGGUGGGCGGAAUUCGUGGUGGAGCGGUGAAAUGCUUAGAUAUCACGAAGAACUCCGAUUGCGAAGGCAGCUCACUGGACUGCAACUGACACUGAGGCUCGAAAGUGUGGGUAUCAAACAGGAUUAGAUACCCGUGUAGUC